AUACGGAGGAUCCGAGCGUUAUCCGGAUUUAUUGGGUUUAAAGGGUGCGCAGGCGGGAGAUUAAGUCGGCGGUGAAAUUUUGCAGCUCAACUGUAAAAGUGCCUUCGAAACUGGUUUCCUUGAGUGUAGAUGAAGUAGGCGGAAUUUGUGGUGUAGCGGUGAAAUGCAUAGAUAUCACGAGGAACUCCGAUUGCGCAGGCAGCGUACUAAACUACUACUGACGCUCAGGCACGAAGGCGUGGGGAUCAAACAGGAUUAGAUACCCUGGUAGUCCACGCAGUAAACGAUGAUUACUAGCUGUUUGCGAUACAAUGUAAGCGGCUGAGCGAAAGCGUUAAGUAAUCCACCUGGGGAGUACGUUCGCAAGAAUGAAACUCAAAGGAAUUGACGGGG
Molecule: ribosomal RNA, 393 nt
Filed under: uncultured bacterium
Lineage: Bacteria
Description: partial 16S ribosomal RNA
Rfam family: Bacterial small subunit ribosomal RNA
Source: RNAcentral